UACAGAGGGGGCAAGCGUUGUUCGGAAUUACUGGGCGUAAAGGGUUCGUAGGUGGCCUGCUAAGUCAGACGUGAAAUCCCUCAGCUUAACUGGGGAACUGCGUCUGAAACUGGCGGGCUUGAGUGCAGGAGAGGAACGCGGAAUUCCUAGUGUAGCGGUGAAAUGCGUAGAGAUUAGGAAGAACACCGGUGGCGAAAGCGCCUUGCUGGGUCUGCACUGACACUGAGGGACGAAAGCCAGGGGAGCGAAAGGG
This 253-nucleotide ribosomal RNA is filed under the name uncultured bacterium. RNAcentral's name for it is "partial 16S ribosomal RNA". It matches the Rfam family "Bacterial small subunit ribosomal RNA", at positions 524 to 776 of the family's 1533-position model. The record is from RNAcentral.